UAUAUUUUGGUGUAUGAUGCACUAAAAAUUUUGAAUUUUUAAGAAAUAGUUUAAUUCUAUUAUUUAUAA
Non-coding RNA from Culicoides brevitarsis, 69 nucleotides. The record is from the annotation of a RefSeq genome assembly. Lineage: Eukaryota; Metazoa; Arthropoda; Insecta; Diptera; Ceratopogonidae.